ACAGCAGUAGCCACGGUAAUACGAAGGGUGCAAGCGUUACUCGGAAUUACUGGGCGUAAAGCGUGCGUAGGUGGUGGUUUAAGUCCGUUGUGAAAGCCCUGGGCUCAACCUGGGAAUUGCAGUGGAUACUGGGUCACUAGAGUGUGGUAGAGGAUAGUGGAAUUUCCGGUGUAGCAGUGAAAUGCGUAGAGAUCGGAAGGAACAUCUGUGGCGAAGGCGACUAUCUGGGCCAACACUGACACUGAGGCACGAAAGCGUGGGGAGCAAACAGGAUUAGAUACCCGGGUAGUCCCUGUCUCUUAUAC
RNAcentral lists this ribosomal RNA (305 nucleotides) under uncultured bacterium. Its description in RNAcentral is "partial 16S ribosomal RNA". It matches the Rfam family "Bacterial small subunit ribosomal RNA", at positions 505 to 807 of the family's 1533-position model. The record is from RNAcentral.